UCUCAUGUCGCGAGUUGCCGUCAUAGGAGAGUAUAUCGUUGCUAAUGUGCCCCACAAGGAGCUCAAAGAUCUUGAACCUGAAAAAGUGGAGGCACAGAUUGAGGCUGAAAA
This 111-nucleotide non-coding RNA is filed under the name Karenia brevis. Lineage: Eukaryota; Dinophyceae; Gymnodiniales; Kareniaceae. The record is from RNAcentral.